This 108-nucleotide ribosomal RNA is filed under the name Pseudomonas sp. P7779. Its description in RNAcentral is "partial 16S ribosomal RNA". It matches the Rfam family "Bacterial small subunit ribosomal RNA", at positions 1427 to 1533 of the family's 1533-position model. Lineage: Bacteria; Pseudomonadati; Pseudomonadota; Gammaproteobacteria; Pseudomonadales; Pseudomonadaceae. The record is from RNAcentral.
UAGCUAGUCUAACCUUCGGGAGGACGGUUACCACGGUGUGAUUCAUGACUGGGGUGAAGUCGUAACAAGGUAGCCGUAGGGGAACCUGCGGCUGGAUCACCUCCUUAA